This 309-nucleotide long non-coding RNA is filed under the name Lathyrus oleraceus (garden pea). RNAcentral describes it as "Pisum sativum (pea) long non-coding RNA (PSAT_LNC031403)". The record is from RNAcentral. Lineage: Eukaryota; Viridiplantae; Streptophyta; Magnoliopsida; Fabales; Fabaceae.
AAUAAAAGUAGUGCGAGUGCGGAAAGUAAAUAAAAGUAGUGCGAGUGCGAGAAAUAAAUGAAAGUAGUGCGAGUGUGAGAAAUAAAUGAAAGUAGUGCGAGUGCGGAAAAUAAAUAAAGUAGUGCGAGUGCGAGAAAUAAAUGAAAGUAGUGCGAGUGUGAGAAAUAAAUGAAAGUAGUGCGAGUGCGAGAAAUAAAUGAAAGUAGUGCGAGUGCGAGAAAGAAAUGAAAGUAGUGCGAGUGCAAGAAAUAAAUAAAGUAAAGACAGUGCGGGAGAGUAAAUGAAAGUAGUGCGAGUGCGAGAAAUAAA